CAGUAGCCGCGGGAAUACGAAGGGUGCAAGCGUUGAUCGGAAUUACUGGGCGUAAAGGGCGCGUAGGCGGCCAUUCAAGUUAGAUGUGAAAGCCCUGGGCUCAACCUAGGAAUUGCAUUUGAUACUGUUUGGCUUGAGUUCGGGAGAGGUGAGUGGAAUUCCCAGUGUAGAGGUGAAAUUCGUAGAUAUUGGGAAGAACACCAGUGGCGAAGGCGGCUCACUGGACCGACACUGACGCUGAGGCGCGAAAGCGUGGGGAGUAAACAGGAUUAGAUACCCGUGUAGUCCCUGUCUCUUAUAC
RNAcentral lists this ribosomal RNA (301 nucleotides) under uncultured bacterium. Its description in RNAcentral is "partial 16S ribosomal RNA". It matches the Rfam family "Bacterial small subunit ribosomal RNA", at positions 509 to 807 of the family's 1533-position model. The record is from RNAcentral.